This 80-nucleotide microRNA precursor is filed under the name Cebus imitator (Panamanian white-faced capuchin). RNAcentral's name for it is "miRNA (ENSCCAG00000018906.1)". The record is from RNAcentral. Lineage: Eukaryota; Metazoa; Chordata; Mammalia; Primates; Cebidae.
AUUAGGUUGAUGCAAAAGUAAUUGUGGUUUUUGGCUUAGAAAUAAUGGCAAAAACCGCAAUUCCUUUUGCACCAACUUAA